CCCUUAGAUGUUCUGGGCCGCACGCGCGCUACACUGAUGCAUUCAACAAGUUUUACCUUGGCCGAGAGGCCUGGGAAAUCUUUCAAAUAUGUAUCGUGAUAGGGAUAGAUUAUUGCAAUUAUUAAUCUUGAACGAGGAAUUCCUAGUAAAUGCAGAUCAUCAUUCUGCGUUGAUUACGCCCCUGCCCUUUGUACACACCGCCCGUCGCACCUACCGAUUGAAUGAUCCGGUGAAGCCUCGGGAUUGUGCCCAGAGAACUUUAUUGUGAUUUGGGUGUGAGAACUUGUCUAAACCUUAUCAUUUAGAGGAAGGUGAAGUCGUAACA
Molecule: ribosomal RNA, 325 nt
Filed under: uncultured eukaryote
Lineage: Eukaryota
Description: partial 18S ribosomal RNA
Rfam family: Eukaryotic small subunit ribosomal RNA
Source: RNAcentral